Molecule: ribosomal RNA, 460 nt
Filed under: uncultured bacterium
Lineage: Bacteria
Description: partial 16S ribosomal RNA
Rfam family: Bacterial small subunit ribosomal RNA
Source: RNAcentral
GACGAACGCUGGCGGCGUGCUUAACACAUGCAAGUCGAGCGGUAAGGCCUCUUCGGGGGUACACGAGCGGCGAACGGGGGAGUAACACGUGGGUGACCUGCCGUCAGCUCUGGGUUAAGGCGGGGAAACUGGGUCUAAUACCGCUAAUGACCCUUCCUCCCUUCGGGUGUGGGGGAAAGUUUUUUCGGCUUGGGAUGGUUCCGCGGCCUAACAUCUUGUUGGUGGGGUGGUGGGCUACCAAGGCGACGACGAGGAGCCGGGCUGCUGGGACGACCGGCCAACCUCGACCUGAGGCACCGGCGGGGAUCCUACGAGAGGCAGCAGUGGGGUAUAUUGCGCAAUGCGCGGAAGCCUGACGCACCGACGCCGCGUGGGGGAUGACGGCCGUGGGGUUAUAGCCCUCUUUCGACCCCGACGAGUUUGGACGGUAGGGGUAGAAGAAGCACCGGCCAACUACGUG